AGCGGGGUAGAGGAAUGGUCAACUCGUCAGGCUCAUGCCCUGAAAACAGCAGGUUCGAAUCCUGCCCCCGCCU
This 73-nucleotide transfer RNA is filed under the name Hevea brasiliensis (rubber tree). RNAcentral's name for it is "tRNA-Met". It matches the Rfam family "tRNA". Rfam says of the family: Transfer RNA (tRNA) molecules are approximately 80 nucleotides in length. Lineage: Eukaryota; Viridiplantae; Streptophyta; Magnoliopsida; Malpighiales; Euphorbiaceae. The record is from RNAcentral. RNAcentral also lists the same sequence under 3 other names.